Solenopsis invicta (red fire ant) is the source of this 1864-nucleotide long non-coding RNA. RefSeq lists it as uncharacterized. The transcript has 2 exons. NCBI's taxonomy places the organism in Eukaryota, Metazoa, Arthropoda, Insecta, Hymenoptera, Formicidae. The record is from RefSeq and is a predicted model, not a curated record.
UUAUUGAUUAAUUUUAAUUUUAGAUUUGGUUUCAACAUGCAAUAUUUAAAAUGACUAUUGUACUUUAUUUUCAAGAAAUAAUGGAAAUUGGAAUAAAAAUGUAAAAAAAUUACUUUUUCUACUUUAUGUUCUUAAAAUCACCACAUGGUAUUGAAAGCUAAAAGUUUUCAUCUAAAUUAUACUUUAAUAUAUUAAAUUUUAGUACAAUAUAAGUUACAUUUAGUUAGAAAUGCAAUUUUAGACAAGGGGAUAUUAACAUGGAUUAACCCAUGUUGCCCCAUGCAGUUGCAUUAAUAUUCAGAUAUUCUAAUACUUUAGAAAUUAUUAUUUUUUAAAUAUAGUUUUUGUUGGAAUAAAUUUAUAGUAGAAAAUAUUUAAAAAAUUGAAACACUCAUAGCUAGAAAUAUAAAAUGUAAUUAUUAAAGUUUUGAAUACUUUAAAUAAAAGAUAACUUUAUGCUUAUUUCUGGUUUUGCAAAAUCUGUCGACUUAUUCCUUGUUUAUAGAUACAAAACAUGUGACCUACUUCAUGGGUAAUCAGUUUUAAUUUUAUUUGAGUAUUUGUACAUAUCACGAAUCAAUGGUGAAAAUGGAACCCAAAGACAAUAUUUUGUUUGAUAAACGUCAACUUGUUAUUUAUCAUUAUGAAAAAAGCAAAUUGUAUCAAGAAAUUGUAAAUUAUGAAAUUUAGGUGAGAGUCGCUAAGAGACAUAAAAAGAUACGUUUGUAAAGAUUGCAUUGAAUUGAUACCAGAAAGAAUAUCUAAAAAUUAUUUAAUUUAUGAGAUAAACAUAAAAUUAUUAGAAAAAGAAAAUGAAAUAUUUAAAAUUAGGAAAUAAUGAGCUCAAGACCACGCAGAAUCGUCAUCUCUUCUCCUUCUAUUCCUUUCGUUUGGGUCACCGAAGCUAUCUUGUUUUGGUCGUUAUUAUUUGUAUCUAUUCUCACUGAAAUGUAACAUCCCAUCUCACAAUGCUGUGACACGAGUUUUGGUGCUUAAAGAAGCUCUUGUCUCUGCACACGCUCUUUGAGGUCGUUUAUUAUGUUAUUGUGCUAAAACGUUAAAAGAAGAUGUACAUCGCAGUUUUGCACAAUCUCUAUUCGGUAACUUGUUUUUAUUUUUUAUUUUUGACCUUUUUAUUUAUAUCGAUAAAUUUAUAUCUUAAUUAGUGCGAUUAAUUUGUUGUUUUAUAGACUUAUAAAUCUGUACUGAAGAAGACCGUCUUCUCGAUACCAAAGAAUCAAAGAAGAAUUAAAGGUCGAAACGUUUGCUUGACAUUGGAUUUAUGCUGAUUUAUUUAUUUGCGUCUGACAUCCUGCGUGGCUUUUGAGCUCAUUAUUUCUUAAUUUUAAUUUAUUUAUAAGAGCCUUAACCUUUAUUUAUUUUGUUUGUAAAAUAUUUAAGUACACCAAAAUUGAUCACAGAAGAGACUGACAAAAAAGUAUAUUCUGAUAUAGUUUGUUGUUGAAUGAAAAUGAUUACAACGGUAGAAUUGCUCGUAAAAAGCCAUUCAUAACUGAGAUAAAUCGGAAGAAAAAAUUAAUUUUUGCCAAGUUUAUUUCUUUAUUACAUAAUUUGUGUAAUUUAUAUAAUUUAUAUCAUUUCACCAUGCUUGCUCUUAGAAAUCAGUAUACUCCAAGUCAUUGAAGACAUUGCUAUAUAACGAGUCUACAUUGUUGCUUGUUUAUACCUCAUAAUCACAUCAUGUGUUUCUAUCAAAAUUAUAAAGUAUCUGAAUCUACUUUUGUUAUUUUUACGAUAACAAUUUAGCAGCAACGUACCGACGAAACUUGAAAAUCAUUAUUCAGAAUUCACAUUAUACUGUUAUCGUUAUAUUACUGUAAUAAAUUAUAUUGCUAUAAUUAAA